RNAcentral lists this transfer RNA (74 nucleotides) under Platygonus compressus. RNAcentral describes it as "tRNA-Asn". It matches the Rfam family "tRNA". From Rfam's summary of the family: Transfer RNA (tRNA) molecules are approximately 80 nucleotides in length. Lineage: Eukaryota; Metazoa; Chordata; Mammalia; Artiodactyla; Tayassuidae. The record is from RNAcentral.
UAGAUUGAAGCCAGUUGACUAGGGUGUUUAGCUGUUAACUAAAAGUUUCGUGGGUUGCAAUCCCACCAGUCUAG